Molecule: ribosomal RNA, 374 nt
Filed under: uncultured soil bacterium
Lineage: Bacteria
Description: bacterial SSU rRNA
Rfam family: Bacterial small subunit ribosomal RNA
Source: RNAcentral
AGGACGAACGCUGGCGGCGUGCUUAACACAUGCAAGUCGAGCGGUAAGGCUCCUUCGGGAGUACACGAGCGGCGAACGGGUGAGUAACACGUGAGCAAUCUGCCCUUCUCUUCGGAAUAACCAUUGGAAACGAUGGCUAAUGCCGAAUACGACCUCCUUUCGCAUGAUCGGAGGUGGAAAGCUCCGGCGGAGAAGGAUGAGCUCGCGGCCUAUCAGCUAGUUGGUGAGGUAAUGACUCACCAAGGCAUUGGACGGGUAGCCGGCCGUGAGGAGGGUCGACCGGCCACACGUGGGACUGGACGACGACCGGCCCAGACCUCCGACGGGACGGCAGCGAGGUGGGAAUAGUUAGGACAAGUGGGACGGAAAGCCGU